GGUUAAGUUAGAAAGGGCGCACGGUGGAUGCCUUGGCACUAGGAGCCGAUGAAGGACGGGACGAACACCGAUAUGCUUCGGGGAGCUGUAAGCAAGCUUUGAUCCGGAGAUUUCCGAAUGGGGAAACCCACUGCUCGUAAUGGAGUAGUAUCCAUACUUGAAUACAUAGAGUAUGAGAAGGCAUACCCGGGGAACUGAAACAUCUAAGUACCCGGAGGAAGAGAAAGCAAAUGCGAUUUCCUGAGUAGCGGCGAGCGAAACGGGAACAGCCCAAACCAAGAGGCUUGCCUCUUGGGGUUGUAGGACACUCUAUACGGAGUUACAAAGGAACGAUAUAAGCGAAGAGGUCUGGAAAGGCCCGCCAAAGAAGGUAACAGCCCUGUAACUGAAAUGUUGUUCUCUCCAGAGUGGAUCCUGAGUACGGCGGAACACGUGAAAUUCCGUCGGAAUCCGGGAGGACCAUCUCCCAAGGCUAAAUACUCCCUAGUGACCGAUAGUGAACCAGUACCGUGAGGGAAAGGUGAAAAGCACCCCGGAAGGGGAGUGAAAUAGAUCCUGAAACCGUGUGCCUACAAGUAGUCAGAGCCCGUUAACGGGUGAUGGCGUGCCUUUUGUAGAAUGAACCGGCGAGUUACGAUCCCGUGCAAGGUUAAGCAGAAGAUGCGGAGCCGCAGCGAAAGCGAGUCUGAAUAGGGCGCAUGAGUACGUGGUCGUAGACCCGAAACCAGGUGAUCUACCCAUGUCCAGGGUGAAGUUCAGGUAACACUGAAUGGAGGCCCGAACCCACGCACGUUGAAAAGUGCGGGGAUGAGGUGUGGGUAGGGGUGAAAUGCCAAUCGAACCUGGAGAUAGCUGGUUCUCUCCGAAAUAGCUUUAGGGCUAGCCUCAAGGUAAGAGUCUCGGAGGUAGAGCACUGAUUGGACUAGGGGCCCCUACCGGGUUACCGAAUUCAGUCAAACUCCGAAUGCCGAUGACUUAUCCUUGGGAGUCAGACUGCGAGUGAUAAGAUCCGUAGUCGAAAGGGAAACAGCCCAGACCGCCAGCUAAGGUCCCAAAGUAUACGUUAAGUGGAAAAGGAUGUGGAGUUGCUUAGACAACCAGGAUGUUGGCUUAGAAGCAGCCACCAUUUAAAGAGUGCGUAAUAGCUCACUGGUCGAGUGACUCUGCGCCGAAAAUGUACCGGGGCUAAACGUAUCACCGAAGCUGCGGACUGUUCUACGAACAGUGGUAGGAGAGCGUUCUAGUGCAGUGAAGUCAGACCGGAAGGACUGGUGGAGCGCUUAGAAGUGAGAAUGCCGGUAUGAGUAGCGAAAGACGGGUGAGAAUCCCGUCCACCGAAUGCCUAAGGUUUCCUGAGGAAGGCUCGUCCGCUCAGGGUUAGUCGGGACCUAAGCCGAGGCCGAAAGGCGUAGGCGAUGGACAACAGGUUGAUAUUCCUGUACCACCUCCUCACCAUUUGAGCAAUGGGGACGCAGGAGGAUAGGGUAAGCGCGGUAUUGAUAUCCGCGUCCAAGCAGUUAGGCUGGGAAAUAGGCAAAUCCGUUUCCCGUGAAGGCUGAGCUGUGAUGGCGAGCGAAAUUUAGUAGCGAAGUUCCUGAUUCCACACUGCCAAGAAAAGCCUCUAGCGAGGUGAGAGGUGCCCGUACCGCAAACCGACACAGGUAGGCGAGGAGAGAAUCCUAAGGUGAUCGAGAGAACUCUCGUUAAGGAACUCGGCAAAAUGACCCCGUAACUUCGGGAGAAGGGUGCUUCUUAGGGUGUUAAAGCCCCGAGAAGCCGCAGUGAAUAGGCCCAGGCGACUGUUUAGACGCGGCCGUAACUAUAACGGUCCUAAGGUAGCGAAAUUCCUUGUCGGGUAAGUUCCGACCCGCACGGGCUGGAAGGUUAAGAGGAGCGCUUAGCGUAAGCGAAGGUGCGAAUUGAAGCCCCAGUAAACGGCGGCCGUAACUAUAACGGUCCUAAGGUAGCGAAAUUCCUUGUCGGGUAAGUUCCGACCCGCACGAAAGGCGCAACGAUCUGGGCACUGUCUCAACGAGAGACUCGGUGAAAUUAUAGUACCUGUGAAGAUGCAGGUUACCCGCGACAGGACGGAAAGACCCCGUGGAGCUUUACUGCAGCCUGAUAUUGAAUGUUGGUACAGCUUGUACAGGAUAGGUAGGAGCCUUGGAAACCGGAGCGCUAGCUUCGGUGGAGGCAUCGGUGGGAUACUACCCUGGCUGUAUUGACCUUCUAACCCGCUGCCCUUAUCGGGCAGGGAGACAGUGUCAGGUGGGCAGUUUGACUGGGGCGGUCGCCUCCUAAAAUGUAACGGAGGCGCCCAAAGGUUCCCUCAGAAUGGUUGGAAAUCAUUCGCAGAGUGUAAAGGCACAAGGGAGCUUGACUGCGAGACCUACAAGUCGAGCAGGGACGAAAGUCGGGCUUAGUGAUCCGGUGGUUCCGCAUGGAAGGGCCAUCGCUCAACGGAUAAAAGCUACCCCGGGGAUAACAGGCUUAUCUCCCCCAAGAGUCCACAUCGACGGGGAGGUUUGGCACCUCGAUGUCGGCUCAUCGCAUCCUGGGGCUGUAGUCGGUCCCAAGGGUUGGGCUGUUCGCCCAUUAAAGCGGUACGCGAGCUGGGUUCAGAACGUCGUGAGACAGUUCGGUCCCUAUCCGUCGCGGGCGCAGGAAAUUUGAGAGGAGCUGUCCUUAGUACGAGAGGACCGGGAUGGACGCACCGCUGGUGUACCAGUUGUUCUGCCAAGGGCAUCGCUGGGUAGCUAUGUGCGGACGGGAUAAGUGCUGAAAGCAUCUAAGCAUGAAGCCCCCUCAAGAUGAGAUUUCCCAUUCCGCAAGGAAGUAAGAUCCCUGAAAGAUGAUCAGGUUGAUAGGUCUGAGGUGGAAGCGUGGUGACACGUGGAGCUGACAGAUACUAAUAGAUCGAGGACUUAACCUA
Molecule: ribosomal RNA, 2932 nt
Filed under: Bacillus altitudinis
Lineage: Bacteria; Bacillati; Bacillota; Bacilli; Caryophanales; Bacillaceae
Description: 23S ribosomal RNA
Rfam family: Bacterial large subunit ribosomal RNA
Source: RNAcentral